GACGAACGCUGGCGGCGUGCUUAACACAUGCAAGUCGAACGAUGAAGCUAGAGCUUGCUCUGGUGAAUUAGUGGCGAACGGGUGAGUAACACGUGAGUAACCUGCCCCGAACUCUGGGAUAACUGCUGGAAACGGUAGCUAAUACUGGAUACGACCUACGAAGGCAUCUUCUGUAGGUGGAAAGAAUUUCGGUUCGGGAUGGACUCGCGGCCUAUCAGCUUGUUGGUGAGGUAAUGGCUCACCAAGGCGACGACGGGUAGCCAGCCUGGGAGGGUGACCGGCCACACUGGGACUGAGACACGGCCCAGACUCCUACGGGGGGCAGCAGUGGGGAAUAUUGCACAAGGGGCGCAAGCCUGAUGCAGCAACGCCGCGUGAGGGAUGACGGCCUUCGGAUUGUAAACCUCUUUUAGUAGGGAAGAAGCGAAAGUGACGGUACCUGCAGAAAAAGCACCGGCUAACUACGUGCCAGCCGCCGCCGUAA
This 484-nucleotide ribosomal RNA is filed under the name uncultured bacterium. RNAcentral's name for it is "partial 16S ribosomal RNA". It matches the Rfam family "Bacterial small subunit ribosomal RNA", at positions 28 to 523 of the family's 1533-position model. The record is from RNAcentral.